Long non-coding RNA from Sinocyclocheilus anshuiensis, 446 nucleotides. Lineage: Eukaryota; Metazoa; Chordata; Actinopteri; Cypriniformes; Cyprinidae. The record is from Ensembl.
CAGGUGUGUGUGCAUGAGGUAACAGGGAGGAGGCUGGUGACACACAAACACACACACACACAGAGACUGAGCGAGGUCUGAGGAGAGAAGCAUAUGAUCUGCACCAGAGCAUAAAUAGAUUUGUCUCCAGCAGCGCUGCAGUGCUCCUGUGGAUCUGUAGAGCAGCCUCAGAAGAAGAAAACCCCGCCUCCUCCCAGGCCAUGCCCCGCCCAGCACACACCGAGGCCAUGCCCCACUCCCUCAGCCACGCCCAGAGCACAGAAACCCCACGUGCCCCCUAAGCCUGUGCACCUGCUCGGUCCUGUCCCUCCAGUGCCCCGCCGACCCCUGCCCAGUCCCCCUCUGAGAGCCAGAGUCCCGUCUGCAGGACCCAUCCACAGCUCCAGGUAAGAGCUGAGCAUCGUCUGUGUGUCAUACUGUGUGAGCUGAGACUCGGAUUAGAGAUG